Molecule: ribosomal RNA, 253 nt
Filed under: uncultured bacterium
Lineage: Bacteria
Description: partial 16S ribosomal RNA
Rfam family: Bacterial small subunit ribosomal RNA
Source: RNAcentral
UACGUAGGGUGCAAGCGUUAAUCGGAAUUACUGGGCGUAAAGCGUGCGCAGGCGGUUGUGCAAGACAGAUGUGAAAUCCCCGGGCUUAACCUGGGAACUGCAUUUGUGACUGCACGGCUAGAGUGCGGCAGAGGGGGAUGGAAUUCCGCGUGUAGCAGUGAAAUGCGUAGAUAUGCGGAGGAACACCGAUGGCGAAGGCAAUCCCCUGGGCCUGCACUGACGCUCAUGCACGAAAGCGUGGGGAGCGAACAGG